CAGGUCAAAGCAACAAACGGCGACACUUUCCUGGGUGGAGAAGACUUUGACAAUACUCUGUUGGGGUUCUUAGUGAGCGAGUACAAAAACACUGAAAAUAUCGAUCUGUCAAAGGAUAGAUUGGCCCUGCAGAGACUGCGUGAAGCAGCUGAGAAGGCAAAAAUCAAACUCUCCUCAACAACCCAGACUGAAAUCAAUCUUCCCUUCAUCACUGCUGAUGCCAGUGGAGCAAAACAUCUGAACAUCACACUGACAAGAUCAAAAUUUGAGUCUCUGGUGAACAGUCUGAUUGAGAGGACCAGAGAGCCGUGCAAGAGCUGCUUGAAGGAUGCCGGCAUAACCACCAAGGAUGUUGAUGAGGUCCUUCUCGUCGGUGGAAUGACAAGGGUUCCGAAAGUGCAGGAGAUAGUCUCUGAGAUCUUUGGCAAGCCUAGCAAAGGAGUCAACCCAGAUGAAGCUGUGGCCAUGGGUGCUGCUAUUCAGGGUGGCAUUCUCCGUGGAGAUGUGAAGGAGCUUCUUCUCCUUGAUGUUACCCCGCUGUCACUUGGUAUUGAGACUCUUGGUGGUAUCUUCACCAGACUGAUAUCCAGGAACACUACCAUCCCCACCAAGAAAAGCCAGGUGUUGUCAACCGCCGCUGACAACCAGACGCAAGUGGGCAUCAAGGUGCUGCAAGGCGAGCGUGAGAUGUCAACAGACAACAAGCUCCUAGGCGAGUUCGACCUGGUCGGCAUCCCGCCAGCACCGAGGGGCACGGCCAAGGACAAAGCGACGGGCAAGGAGCAGCAGAUCACCAUCCGGUCCUCGGGCGGCCUGUCGGAGGCGGAGAUCCAGAAGAUGGUGCAGGAGGCUGAGGUGCACUCGCACAAGGCCCUGAUCGACGUGCGGAACACCGCGGACACCACCAUGUACAACGUGGAGAAGAGCCUGGGCGAGUACCGGGACAAGGUCCCCGCGGAGGUGGUGUCGGAGAUCGAGGCGGCCGUCGCCGAGCUCCGUGCUGAGAUGGCCUCGGACGACGCCGAGAAGAUCAAGGCCAAGAUCGACGCGGCCAACCGGGCUGUGUCCAAGAUCGGGCAGCACAUGUCUGGCGGUGGCGGCGGGGCUGCUGGUGGUGAGCCGGGGUCGCAACAGGGUGGUGGUGGCGACGCAAUCUUGUUGUGA
This 1164-nucleotide ribosomal RNA is filed under the name Triticum aestivum (bread wheat). Its description in RNAcentral is "partial small subunit ribosomal RNA". Lineage: Eukaryota; Viridiplantae; Streptophyta; Magnoliopsida; Poales; Poaceae. The record is from RNAcentral.